This is a long non-coding RNA of Sebastes umbrosus (honeycomb rockfish), 894 nucleotides long. RefSeq lists it as uncharacterized. Lineage: Eukaryota; Metazoa; Chordata; Actinopteri; Perciformes; Sebastidae. The record is from RefSeq and is a predicted model, not a curated record. The transcript has 3 exons.
AUUCUUGGGGUUCCUGGGAUCAUGGAACAACUAUUACACUUAUACCCACAUACGCAUAGAACUUUGUUCAGGAAAAUGAAAAACAAACAUGUUGGCAUUUUGGUAUUGUGGUGAGAUCAGAGUUUAAUGAAGCUAAUCGGCACAACUUUGUUUUUGAUUCAGAAUCCAGUGAGACUCAUCUCAAUGAGACUCAACGGGACUGUGGUGUGUGUUGGAUUCUGCUGUACUCUCUGUGUCCAGCUUCUGCUGUUCUCUCCUCUCUCCUCUCCUCUCUUCUGGUUUAUCACCUCUGUCAGAAAAAAGCUAAAGAACCUCCAGCUGAUCAGCAAAGACCUCACACAAGACUGAAUCAGGAUGAAGAUGUGUGUUAUGCUGCACUGGAAAUCCGUCCAGCAUCACACAGACCAAAGAAGAAGAAAACCCAGAGUUCUGACUUCAGCACCUAUUCUGCCAUCAAUACUUCUAGGAUGUAGAGAGUCUACAACAAAAGACAUGACUAGAGACUAGGGAUGCUAAUUUUGAAUUUUUUUUACUGUCCAAUAACCAACCCUUGUUAACCGAUUAUUAACCGUUAACUGACAACAUUAGUACGUCACAUGCAGCGGUGCUAUUUUUAGCGCCUAACAAGCCGCCCAGCUGCAACGAAAAGCCGAUGCACAAACAAGUUAAAUCCAUCAUUUAUCGCCAGCUGCAGUGUAUACGCAAAACAGACAACCGGGGACUCAGUUGUCUGUUUUGCUAUCUAGUUGAGAAAUGAGUAACAUUUGUGGUGAAGAGCGCUAGCAUUAUUACCUACGUGUGUAACAUCGGUACCCAACAACGGCAAUAAGAGACAUCGUCAGAAGUCACGUGACUGCAAGGCAUCUACACCAGCGUUGCUGUCGUGACUGGUAA